UAAUCAGGCUAGUCUCGUUAGUGGCGUGUCUGCCGCAGCUGGCGUGCGAAUGUAAAGSCUGACUAAGCAUGUAGUGGCGAGGAUGUAGGAAUUUCGGACGCGGGUUC
Molecule: unclassified non-coding RNA, 107 nt
Filed under: uncultured bacterium
Lineage: Bacteria
Description: partial tmRNA
Source: RNAcentral